RNAcentral lists this ribosomal RNA (329 nucleotides) under uncultured bacterium. RNAcentral describes it as "bacterial SSU rRNA". It matches the Rfam family "Bacterial small subunit ribosomal RNA", at positions 568 to 898 of the family's 1533-position model. The record is from RNAcentral.
CGUGUAGGCGGGUCUUUAAGUCAGAGGUGAAUGCCAAGGCUCAACCUUGGAACUGCCUUUGAUACUGGAGAUCUUGAGUCCGGGAGAGGUGAGUGGAACUGCGAGUGUAGAGGUGAAAUUCGUAGAUAUUCGCAAGAACACCAGUGGCGAAGGCGGCUCACUGGCCCGGUACUGACGCUGAGAUGCGAAAGCGUGGGGAGCAAACAGGAUUAGAUACCCUGGUAGUCCACGCUGUAAACGAUGGAUGCUAGCCGUUAGGCAGCUUGCUGCUUAGUGGCGCAGUUAACACUUUAAGCAUCCCGCCUGGGGAGUACGGUCGCAAGAUUAAA